Unclassified non-coding RNA from Microcebus murinus (gray mouse lemur), 96 nucleotides. It matches the Rfam family "Y RNA". Rfam says of the family: Y RNAs are components of the Ro ribonucleoprotein particle (Ro RNP), in association with Ro60 and La proteins. The Y RNAs and Ro60 and La proteins are well conserved, but the function of the Ro RNP is not known. In humans the RNA component can be one of four small RNAs -- hY1, hY3, hY4 and hY5. Lineage: Eukaryota; Metazoa; Chordata; Mammalia; Primates; Cheirogaleidae. The record is from Ensembl.
GGCUGGUCUGAUGGCAGUGGGUUAUCAGAACUUAUUAACAUUAGUGUCACUAAAGUUGGUAUUCAACCCUUCACUGCUAAAUUUGACUGGCUUAUA